RNAcentral lists this ribosomal RNA (484 nucleotides) under uncultured bacterium. Its description in RNAcentral is "partial 16S ribosomal RNA". It matches the Rfam family "Bacterial small subunit ribosomal RNA", at positions 30 to 507 of the family's 1533-position model. The record is from RNAcentral.
AUUGAACGCUGGCGGCAGGCCUAACACAUGCAAGUCGAGCGGAUGAAGGGAGCUUGCUCCUGGAUUCAGCGGCGGACGGGUGAGUAAUGCCUAGGAAUCUGCCUGGUAGUGGGGGAUAACGUCCGGAAACGGGCGCUAAUACCGCAUACGUCCUGAGGGAGAAAGUGGGGGAUCUUCGGACCUCACGCUAUCAGAUGAGCCUAGGUCGGAUUAGUUAGUUGGUGGGGUAAAGGCCUACCAAGGGGACGAUCCGUAACUGGUCUGAGAGGAUGAUCAGUCACACUGGAACUGAGACACGGUCCAGACUCCUACGGGAGGCAGCAGUGGGGAAUAUUGGACAAUGGGCGAAAGCCUGAUCCAGCCAUGCCGCGUGUGUGAAGAAGGUCUUCGGAUUGUAAAGCACUUUAAGUUGGGAGGAAGGGCAGUAAGUUAAUACCUUGCUGUUUUGACGUUACCAACAGAAUAAGCACCGGCUAACUUCGUG